AGCAUGCGGCGUGCUAUACAUGCAAGUCGUGCGGACCUUUUAAAAGCUUGCUUUUAAAAGGUUAGCGGCGGACGGGUGAGUAACACGUGGGCAACCUGCCUGUAAGAUCGGGAUAACGCCGGGAAACCGGGGCUAAUACCGGAUAGUUUUUUCCUCCGCAUGGAGGAAAAAGGAAAGACGGCUUCUGCUGUCACUUACAGAUGGGCCCGCGGCGCAUUAGCUAGUUGGUGGGGUAACGGCUCACCAAGGCAACGAUGCGUAGCCGACCUGAGAGGGUGAUCGGCCACAUUGGGACUGAGACACGGCCCAAACUCCUACGGGAGGCAGCAGUAGGGAAUCUUCCGCAAUGGACGAAAGUCUGACGGAGCAACGCCGCGUGAGUGAAGAAGGCCUUCGGGUCGUAAAACUCUGUUGCCGGGGAAGAACAAGUGCCGUUCGAACAGGGCGGCGCCUUGACGGUACCCGGCCAGAAAGCCACGGCUAACUACGUGCCAGCAGCCGCGGUAAUACGUAGGUGGCAAGCGUUGUCCGGAAUUAUUGGGCGUAAAGCGCGCGCAGGCGGCUUCUUAAGUCUGAUGUGAAAUCUUGCGGCUCAACCGCAAGCGGUCAUUGGAAACUGGGAGGCUUGAGUGCAGAAGAGGAGAGUGGAAUUCCACGUGUAGCGGUGAAAUGCGUAGAGAUGUGGAGGAACACCAGUGGCGAAGGCGGCUCUCUGGUCUGUAACUGACGCUGAGGCGCGAAAGCGUGGGGAGCAAACAGGAUUAGAUACCCUGGUAGUCCACGCCGUAAACGAUGAGUGCUAAGUGUUAGAGGGUUUCCGCCCUUUAGUGCUGCAGCUAACGCAUUAAGCACUCCGCCUGGGGAGUACGGCCGCAAGGCUGAAACUCAAAGGAAUUGACGGGGGCCCGCACAAGCGGUGGAGCAUGUGGUUUAAUUCGAAGCAACGCGAAGAACCUUACCAGGUCUUGACAUCCUCUGACCUCCCUGGAGACAGGGCCUUCUCCUUCGGGGACAGAGUGACAGUGUGCAUGGUUGUCGUCAGCUCGUGUC
RNAcentral lists this ribosomal RNA (1050 nucleotides) under Heyndrickxia coagulans. RNAcentral describes it as "bacterial SSU rRNA". It matches the Rfam family "Bacterial small subunit ribosomal RNA", at positions 34 to 1066 of the family's 1533-position model. Lineage: Bacteria; Bacillati; Bacillota; Bacilli; Caryophanales; Bacillaceae. The record is from RNAcentral.